This 75-nucleotide transfer RNA is filed under the name Staphylococcus aureus. Its description in RNAcentral is "tRNA-Gln(ttg)". It matches the Rfam family "tRNA". Rfam says of the family: Transfer RNA (tRNA) molecules are approximately 80 nucleotides in length. Their secondary structure includes four short double-helical elements and three loops (D, anti-codon, and T loops). Lineage: Bacteria; Bacillati; Bacillota; Bacilli; Caryophanales; Staphylococcaceae. The record is from RNAcentral.
UGGGCUAUAGCCAAGCGGUAAGGCAACGGACUUUGCCUCCGUCACUCGUUGGUUCGAAUCCAGCUAGCCCAGCCA